AUUGAACGCUGGCGGCAUGCCUUACACAUGCAAGUCGAACGGUAACAGGUCUUCGGAUGCUGACGAGUGGCGAACGGGUGAGUAAUACAUCGGAACGUGCCCGAUCGUGGGGGGAUAACGCAGCGAAAGCUGUGCUAAUACCGCAUACGAUCUACGGAUGAAAGCGGGGGACUCGCAAGGGCCUCGCGCGGACGGAGCGGCCGAUGGCAGAUUAGGUAGUUGGUGGGAUAAAAAGCUUACCAAGCCGACGAUCUGUAGCUGGUCUGAGAGGACGACCAGCCACACUGGGACUGAGACACGGCCCAGACUCCUACGGGAGGCAGCAGUGGGGAAUUUUGGACAAUGGGCGCAAGCCUGAUCCAGCCAUGCCGCGUGCAGGAUGAAGGUCUUCGGAUUGUAAAGUUCAAUAAGUGGGAAAAAAAUAAAGCCCGUAAGGGUGAUGAUGGUACCCAUCUAAAGACACCGGCUAACUACGUGCCAGCAGCCGCGGUAAU
RNAcentral lists this ribosomal RNA (494 nucleotides) under uncultured bacterium. RNAcentral describes it as "bacterial SSU rRNA". It matches the Rfam family "Bacterial small subunit ribosomal RNA", at positions 30 to 524 of the family's 1533-position model. The record is from RNAcentral.